GAUAAACGCUAGCGGCCGGCUUAACACAUGCAAGUCGAGGGGCAGCAUAGAUUGUAGCAAUACAAUUGGUGGCGACCGGCGCACGGGUGCGUAACGCGUAUGCAACCUACCCGUCACAGGGGGAUAAUCCGGAGAAAUCUGGUCUAAUACCCCAUAACAUAUGGAUCGGCAUCGGUUCAUGUGGAAAUUUUCGGAGGUGACGGAUGGGCAUGCGUAGCAUUAGCUUGUUGGUGAGGUAACGGCUCACCAAGGCGACGAUGCUUAGGGGUACUGAGAGGUUUUCCGCCCACGCUGGAACUAAGACACGGACCAGACUCCUACUGGAGGCAUCAGUGAGGAAUAUUGGUCAAUGGGCGCAAGCCUGAACCAGCCAUGCCGCGUGCAGGAUGACGUCUCUAUGAGUUGUAAACUGCUUUUGUACGAGGGUAAAGUGGGUUACGUGUAACCUUUUGAAAGUAUCGUACGAAUAAGGAUCGGCUAACUCCGUGCCAGCCGCCGCCGUAA
Molecule: ribosomal RNA, 504 nt
Filed under: uncultured bacterium
Lineage: Bacteria
Description: partial 16S ribosomal RNA
Rfam family: Bacterial small subunit ribosomal RNA
Source: RNAcentral